RNAcentral lists this ribosomal RNA (710 nucleotides) under uncultured euryarchaeote. RNAcentral describes it as "bacterial SSU rRNA". It matches the Rfam family "Archaeal small subunit ribosomal RNA", at positions 156 to 871 of the family's 1478-position model. Lineage: Archaea; Methanobacteriati; Methanobacteriota. The record is from RNAcentral.
GCCCACUACGCCUGGAACGGUGAGUGGGUCAAAGCCCCGGCGGCAUAGGAUGGGCCUGCGCCGUAUCAGGUUGUAGGGGGUGUAAAGUACCCUCUAGCCAUCAACGCGUACGGGUGUUGGGAGACAUUGCCCGGAGAUGGAUUCUGAGACACGAAUCCAGACCCUACGGGGUGCAGCAGGCGCGGAAACUUGGCAAUGCGAGAAAUCGUGACCAGGGAACUCCAAGUGCGUAGGGUAAGACCUACGCUUUUCUUGACUCUUCAAAGGUCUUGGAAUAAGGGGUGGUUAAGGACGGUGCCAGCCGCCGCGGUAAUACCGGCGCCUCAAGUGGUAGUCGCUUUUAUUGGGCCUAAAACGUCCGUAGCCGGUCUGGUGCAUUCGUGGGUAAAUCAACCCGCUCAACGGGUUGAAUUCUGCGAGCACGGCCAGACUUGGGACCGGGAGAGGUGUGGGGUACUCUCAGGGUAGGGGUAAAAUCCUGUCAUCCUGAGAGGACCACCUGUUGCGAAGGCGCCACACUAGAACGGAUCCGACGGUCAGGGACGAAACCUAGGGGCACGAACCGGAUUAGAUACCCGGGUAGUCCUAGGUGUAAACGCUGUGGACUUGAUGUUGGGGGCGCUCCGAGCGCUCUCAGUGUCGAAGCGAAGGUGAUAAGUCCACUGCCUGGGGAGUACGGUCGCAAGGCUGAAACUCAAAUGAAUUGACGG